UCAGACGAUGCGUCAUGCAUAUCAAUAAGCGGAGGAAAAGAAACUAACAAGGAUUCCCUUAGUAACGGCGAGUGAAGCGGGAAGAGCUCAAAUUUGAAAUCUUCAAGGUUUUACCUUGACGAAUUGUAGUUUAAAGAAGUGUUUUCUGUUGAAGUUUUGGUAAAAGUUCUUUGGAAUAGGACAUCAUAGAGGGUGAGAAUCCCGUAUUUGACCAUUAUUUUCAGCUUUGUGAUACACUUUCAAAGAGUCGGAUUGUUUGGGAAUGCAGUCCAAAAUGGGUGGUAAAUUUCAUCUAAAGCUAAAUAUUGGCGAGAGACCGAUAGCGAACAAGUACCGUGAGGGAAAGAUGAAAAGAACUUUGAAAAGAGAGUUAAACAGUACGUGAAAUUGUCAAAAGGGAAGCGUUUGACACCAGUGUUGUUUUCCCGAAAAUCAAUUAAAAAGAGUUAGAUUUUGUUGUGUAUUGACCUUAACAGCUUGCAUUUCAAUUUUCUUGCUUUUUUAAUGCACUUUUCGUUUAGCAAGUCAACAUCAGUUUCUUUUGUUGUAAAAAGGUCAUUGGAAGGUGGCCUUCUUUUCGGAGAAAGUGUUUAUAGCCUUUGACUCCUGCAAUCGGAGAGACUGAGGUCUGCAGCGUAGACUCUUCGGGGUUAGAUACAUUUGUGCUAAGUUAUAGCUUUUUAUAGACAACUUGUUGACUAUAAUUAGUCUUGUAGCUUACUCGCUUAUGCUAUUUUACCUACGCUUAGGAUGUUGAGUCGUAGAGCACGCAG
This 773-nucleotide ribosomal RNA is filed under the name uncultured Neocallimastigales. RNAcentral describes it as "partial large subunit ribosomal RNA". It matches the Rfam family "Eukaryotic large subunit ribosomal RNA", at positions 18 to 634 of the family's 3401-position model. The record is from RNAcentral. Lineage: Eukaryota; Fungi; Neocallimastigomycota; Neocallimastigomycetes; Neocallimastigales.